CCUACGGGAGGCAGCAGCAGGGAAUCCUGGGCAAUGGGCGAAAGCCUGACCCAGCGACGCCGCGUGGAGGAAGAAGUCCUUCGGGGCGUAAACUCCUGGACUGGGGGACGAGUAAGGACGGUACCCCAGUAGAAAGGGACGGCUAACUACGUGCCAGCAGCCGCGGUAAU
Molecule: ribosomal RNA, 170 nt
Filed under: uncultured bacterium
Lineage: Bacteria
Description: partial 16S ribosomal RNA
Rfam family: Bacterial small subunit ribosomal RNA
Source: RNAcentral